Molecule: transfer RNA, 72 nt
Filed under: Geobacillus kaustophilus HTA426
Lineage: Bacteria; Bacillati; Bacillota; Bacilli; Caryophanales; Anoxybacillaceae
Description: transfer RNA trnO-Gly
Rfam family: tRNA
About the family: Transfer RNA (tRNA) molecules are approximately 80 nucleotides in length. Their secondary structure includes four short double-helical elements and three loops (D, anti-codon, and T loops).
Source: RNAcentral
UAGUUCAGCGGUAGAACACCACCUUGCCAAGGUGGGGGUCGCGGGUUCGAGUCCCGUCUUCCGCUCUUGAUC